Erpetoichthys calabaricus (reedfish) is the source of this 2132-nucleotide long non-coding RNA. RefSeq lists it as uncharacterized. The record is from RefSeq and is a predicted model, not a curated record. NCBI's taxonomy places the organism in Eukaryota, Metazoa, Chordata, Cladistia, Polypteriformes, Polypteridae. The transcript is spliced from 2 exons.
GUCAAAAGUUUUGGAUGACCAAAAAAGCUGUACUUUCCUACUGAGCUGUAACUUUUAAAGCAUCUUAGUUAAAGUGAAUAUGACAGUACAAGGUAUAAGAUAAAACAUUUAAAGGAUAACAACCAAAUCACAGAUAAAUUAUUCCAAUUACGUUAUUUCCGUUUCCGGUAAUAUUUUAAAAUCGCUGUUUAGGUUGCGGUGUGCUGUUGUUGCUGUAGGCAAUUAGGCAUGGCAGCUGCUGCUGCAGUAUUUGAAAGAUAGGGUGUACUGGCCGGCUUCGGCUUCGGCUUCGGCUUCAUUUAUGUUGGAUGGAAGGCGGUUUGAAGAAUUGAUGACAGAAAGUGUAAUCGAAUGGUAUGACUUGUUCAGAGAAUGGUGAACGGCAAGUUUCUGGAAAAGCUAUAAAUACACCUCGAAUUGAUUUGGGAGUGGUGUCUCGUCCAGUCGUAAAGUAGGUGGCCUUUACAUUUUAAAAAAAGGAACGAAGAAUACAAUAUUUUGCUCGAUCUGAAGCAAAUGCAGCUAGAUCUUGAAGAGAUUGGACACUUUUGGUGCAUUUUAAAGCUAGACAGCAAUGUGAGAUAGCUCUUCGGUUAAAACCUACUGCAUGACAGGCUACCGGAGAAAUUUUUGUAAUGCGGAGUAAUGACGAGAGUGCCUCUAGAUGUUAUCCAUUAACCAAGUUUAAAAUAAUAUAGUGAGUCAAAUACAGUAUUUGUGAACGGUAAACGUUUAAAAGGAUUUUGUGAUGAAGUGAGAGCACGUACCAUCCACCCAUCCAUCCCAAUCGCGGGGCCGCAGGUGCCUAUUGCACACACGUUUAGACAGGCGUAAAGGAGUUAUCGGAUAAGCUUAAUUUGAAUUACAUGAGUUCUACUUAGAUAGAUACUUUAUUAAUCCCAAUGGGAAAUUCACAAUACUUGUGUGUGCCAUUCCCACUGUGAUGUCUGGUCAUGUAGCAGUAGUGUGUAAGGUGUAAAGAGGCGUAGCUCAUGUGCUAGAGUUCAUAAAUACAAACGCGGUGAAGAAGGCUUUAGGACAAAAUGUGCGUUUGUAGCGGGAUGUAGAGGAUGCCCUGUAGAAAAGAAAGCUGUAAAUGCACAACAUGUUCGGGUACAAAUUUGGGCAUUUUGAUGUCAGGCUGUUCAGAAAGUGCAAAAAACUGUAGCGAUGGGGCAGAUUAACAUUGUUAAUAUCGAAAAGGUGGAAUAAAGAAUUGUACAUAUCCAGAACUGGUGCAGUAUAUAAAAAUGUAGGGCUUAUGAGUUGUAAAGAACCCAUCUUGUUGAUAGAUGGACGCCCUUGUAAUGGGCACAAUAUAUCCUACAUAGUGUUCUAUGAUAUAAUUGUCAUUACAAUGUAUUUAAGAGCUUGCUACAUUUUUGAAAGUUAUUUAAAAGAAAUUGUUUCAAUGUGAAGUACAUUUCCUGCAUCUUUGCUCCACAGUCAAGCUCAGUAGGUAUAGGAUGUGCACCUUAUGCCAACUAACAUUAAAUACCAGAUAAAGAAGAUGCUCUGCUUUUCAGUUAGAUAAGGGCAGCUGAUGGGCUCUUGUAAGGAGAUAUUUUAUUGAAUGCUACAUCAACUUGUUAUUCACCUGCCAUUGUCUUACUGAAACAAAUUCUUGAGGCUAUGGAUUUGAUUUACUUUGUCUACACCAGUGUCCGCAUACAGAGUGAAUGAGUACAGUUACAUUUUUGGAGAAACACAAUUGAAUGCAUGUUUUACAUACUCUUAAAGAUAUUUUGAUUUAAAGAUUUAUACUUAAUGUUUGUAAACUGUAAAAUGUUGAUAACCUGUGCAUAAAUUACUUUUCAAAACACUUUAAAAUUUACUUUUCUUUAAUUUUGCCAUCCAAAAAAGCAGUUUUUAUUUAGAACUUGUGAAAUGUAGAGUUUCAAAAUAUUAAAUGGGAAACAUAUUAUCCUAAUUGCUGUGUGUGCCUCUUGAAACAUUAAUUUGCAUUCAUUUGUGGAAUUUCUUUCCUUUUUAGUUUUUUGAGAUGAUUAGUUAUGUUGUGACAAAGUAAUGUUUAUAAAGUCCUGUAUAGUAGAGUUGCAUUAUUUUUGGCUGUAGCAAUCCUUGAUAUAGAAAGAAAAGCUUGCUUAGUAAAGAGAAAUGGCAAUCUAUCA